UUGAUUUUGAUUGAAAAUUUCCGAUUUUCGAUCGUUUUAUAAUUAUUCAUGCGUUUUGUUACAACAGACCCCAUCAUAAAUCUGGGUAUCCACUGUACAAUUAAAAAAAAAAAUUGUUCCUUUGUGAUAAUCAAUUGUUUCAAUUACCAGGUAAUCAUACAUUAUUAUUAUUUUAAAAAUUAUUUGCUUUUCGGUAUUGUGCUUUGAUGUGAUAAAUUUGUUAUCACUUUAAAACAAUUCACAUUAAGUACUGUGUUUUUUUUUUUAGAUGUAUCUAAGUAUAAUACAAUUAUUGCUCAAAGAAUUAUUAGAAACAAAUCUAGUCAUAACUUAUUUUUAUUGACGUUUUAGGUGGUUUAUUAUACAACUACAUUGGAUAAUUGAUUGACAUUAUAUAUGGAUCAGAUUUGACUCAUGACAAUUUAAUUGUUUGAGAGUAUUCAAAUUGUCGAUUAUUUGUGACGAGGAAGAUAAUACCAACUUUAAUUUAGGUAAUCAUAAAUCAUCAAAUACAAAGUAACUCAUUAAAGUUAAUGACUGAAAAUAACACAAUUACCAAUGAUUGUAUAGUAUUAACCUAUAAGUUAUAAUACUUAGUAGAGAUUUUUAAAAAAUAUGACGAAGUAGUAUUUAAUAAAAUCCAAAUUGUUAUUAAAACUGUGAAUUUAUAUGAGUAACUUUAUUAGGUAAUAAAAAAUGUACAAUUAUUACUAUUAAAAUUAUUAAUUUGUAUUUUUUGCAUGAACAAAUACGAUGCACCCUAUAAAACACUAUGAAAUAUGAAUGGCAUUUAUAGGAUAUAUUUCUCUUCUAGAGAAAAACUUCAAAACAUUAGAAGGUAGUAUAUAAUUGUGUAGAUAAACCAAAAUCUUAAAAAAAAAAUGCACCACAAUUAC
Molecule: long non-coding RNA, 896 nt
Organism: Myzus persicae (green peach aphid)
Lineage: Eukaryota; Metazoa; Arthropoda; Insecta; Hemiptera; Aphididae
Exons: 2
Source: RefSeq, a predicted model, not a curated record